GUGAAUCAUCAAAUUUUUGAACGCAAAUUGCACUCUCCUCGGAGAGUAUGCCUGUUUGAGGGUCAGCCUAAAAAAAAUCGACAUCGUUGCUGUUCCGCGGUGACGUUCGUCGGAAAUUGGGUUAUCUUAAACCUUUUGGUUUAAGCGCUUUAAACUUUUCCUUUUGAUUCAAUGAACUUUUCUAAGGUUUAUUUCUUUACACGUUUAGGUUAUCGUUUUUUAUUAGAGU
RNAcentral lists this unclassified non-coding RNA (229 nucleotides) under Glomeraceae sp. Its description in RNAcentral is "partial contains 5.8S ribosomal RNA and internal transcribed spacer 2". The stretch from base 1 to 65 matches the Rfam family "5.8S ribosomal RNA", at positions 84 to 154 of the family's 154-position model. Lineage: Eukaryota; Fungi; Glomeromycota; Glomeromycetes; Glomerales; Glomeraceae. The record is from RNAcentral.